UACGGAGGGUGCGAGCGUUAAUCGGAAUAACUGGGCGUAAAGGGCACGCAGGCGGUUAUCUAAGUUAGGUGUGAAAUCCCCGGGCUUAACCUGGGAAUGGCAUUUAAGACUGGAUAGCUUGAGUAUCGUAGAGGGGGGUAGAAUUCCACGUGUAGCGGUGAAAUGCGUAGAGAUGUGGAGGAAUACCGGUGGCGAAGGCGGCCCUCUGGACGAAUACUGACGCUGAGGUGCGAAAGUGUGGGGAGCAAACAGG
Molecule: ribosomal RNA, 253 nt
Filed under: uncultured bacterium
Lineage: Bacteria
Description: partial 16S ribosomal RNA
Rfam family: Bacterial small subunit ribosomal RNA
Source: RNAcentral